GAAGGCGCUCUGCUGGGCCAUCACUGACGCUCAUGGACGAAAGCCAGGGGAGCGAAAGGGAUUAGAUACCCCUGUAGUCCUGGCCGUAAACGAUGAACACUAGGUGUCGGGGGAAUCGACCCCCUCGGUGUCGUAGCCAACGCGUUAAGUGUUCCGCCUGGGGAGUACGCACGCAAGUGUGAAACUCAAAGGAAUUGACGGGGGCCCGCACAAGCGGUGGAGUAUGUGGUUUAAUUCGAUGCAACGCGAAGAACCUUACCAGGGUUUGACAUCCUGCGAAUCUCUUGGAAACAGGAGAGUGCCUUCGGGAACGCGGUGACAGGUGGUGCAUGGCUGUCGUCAGCUCGUGUCGUGAGAUGUUGGGUUAAGUCCCGCAACGAGCGCAACCCACGUCUUUAGUUGCCAGCAUUUAGUUGGGCACUCUAGAGAGACUGCCGGUGAUAAACCGGAGGAAGGUGUGGAUGACGUCAAGUCAUCAUGCCCCUUACAUCCUGGGCUACACACGUACUACAAUGCUACGGACAAAGGGCUGCAAGUUCGCGAGGACAAGCAAAUCCCAUAAACCGUGGCUCAGUUCAGAUCGUAGGCUGCAACUCGCCUACGUGAAGGCGGAAUCGCUAGUAAUCGCAGGUCAGCAUACUGCGGUGAAUACGUUCCCGGGCCUCGUACACACCGCCCGUCACACCAUGGAAGUUGGCCACGCCCGAAGCCGUUACUCCAACCCUUGUGGAGGAGGACGUCGAAGGUGGGGCUGAUGACUGGGGUGAAGUCGUAACAAGGUAACCG
Molecule: ribosomal RNA, 786 nt
Filed under: uncultured bacterium
Lineage: Bacteria
Description: bacterial SSU rRNA
Rfam family: Bacterial small subunit ribosomal RNA
Source: RNAcentral